UAAGGAGACUGCCGGUGACAAACCGGAGGAAGGGUGGGGAUGACGUCAAGUCAUCAUCGGCCCUUACGGCCGUGGGCUACACACGUGCUACAAUGGUCGGUACAAAGGGUUGCCAAGCCGCGAGGUGGAGCUAAUCCCAUAAAACCGAUCGUAGUCCGGAUCGCAGUCUGCAACUCGACUGCGUGAAGUCGGAAUCGCUAGUAAUCGUGAAAUCAGAAUGUCACGGUGAAUACGUUCCCGGGCCUU
RNAcentral lists this ribosomal RNA (246 nucleotides) under uncultured Pseudomonas sp. RNAcentral's name for it is "partial 16S ribosomal RNA". It matches the Rfam family "Bacterial small subunit ribosomal RNA", at positions 1141 to 1382 of the family's 1533-position model. Lineage: Bacteria; Pseudomonadati; Pseudomonadota; Gammaproteobacteria; Pseudomonadales; Pseudomonadaceae. The record is from RNAcentral.